AUGACUGUCACUUUGCAGGAUGUUUCUCUGAUCACUGGACUUCCCAUCAAAGGAGAGCCUAUUUGUUUUAGCACAGAUUUUGAUGGAUGGCGUGAGAUUGUGGUUGGACUCAUAGGGAGGGAGUCGGGGGUACAUGGGAAGUCCGCCGGUGCAAGUUAUCAUUGGAUUGCUGAACACUUUGGGGAAUGCCUGGCUGAUGUGGACGAUGAAACAGUGUAGCAGUAUACCAGGGCAUACUUGUGGUAUGUAGUCAGCCGGACUCUUUUCUUUGAUGGCACUGGCGUGAACGCUUCCUUUAUAUGGCUUAAGCUAUUUGCUGGGUGGGAGCAUGGACUCAGUUGGGGUACGGCGGCGUUGGCUUAUUUGUAUCGUCAGGUAAGUAGUUUUGCUUAUAAUAUUGUGUUCACCAUGUAG
RNAcentral lists this ribosomal RNA (414 nucleotides) under Triticum aestivum (bread wheat). RNAcentral describes it as "partial small subunit ribosomal RNA". The record is from RNAcentral. Lineage: Eukaryota; Viridiplantae; Streptophyta; Magnoliopsida; Poales; Poaceae.